This 313-nucleotide small RNA is filed under the name Arabidopsis thaliana (thale cress). Its description in RNAcentral is "ATSL172740". Lineage: Eukaryota; Viridiplantae; Streptophyta; Magnoliopsida; Brassicales; Brassicaceae. The record is from RNAcentral.
AAGUACUAACUGUUUUUCGGAGAAUGAAAUGGGCUAUCUGUUGAAAACCUUAGGCCUGAGUUUAAAGACCAUCUGUACAAUUGGGCCAAUAAGUAACGCAUUAUCCAUCAACAAAGUACUGAAACAUGAGACACUUAGACCAUCUCCAUCGGGGGUUUCUUGUAAGAAUUUCUCACAAUUAAAAAAAAAAAAUAAUAAAAAUGAAGGAAAAAGAGUGUAGAAAGUUUCUCACUUGAGAAACUCUGAGAUACUCUUUACAACCCAUCAUGAUAAUUCUCUUCUCAUUAUUGGUUCAACUUUUUAACAAAAAUAU